This 468-nucleotide ribosomal RNA is filed under the name uncultured bacterium. RNAcentral describes it as "partial 16S ribosomal RNA". It matches the Rfam family "Bacterial small subunit ribosomal RNA", at positions 28 to 507 of the family's 1533-position model. The record is from RNAcentral.
GACGAACGCUGGCGGCGUGCUUAACACAUGCAAGUCGAACGGAAAGGCCCUGCCUUUGUGGGGUGCUCGAGUGGCGAACGGGUGAGUAACACGUGAGUAACCUGCCCUUGACUUUGGGAUAACUCCAGGAAACUGGGGCUAAUACCGGAUAGGAGCUCCUGCUGCAUGGUGGGGGUUGGAAAGUUUCGGCGGUUGGGGAUGGACUCGCGGCUUAUCAGCUUGUUGGUGGGGUAGUGGCUUACCAAGGCGUUGACGGGUAGCCGGCCUGAGAGGGUGACCGGCCACAUUGGGACUGAGAUACGGCCCAGACUCCUACGGGAGGCAGCAGUGGGGAAUAUUGCACAAUGGGCGGAAGCCUGAUGCAGCAACGCCGCGUGCGGGAUGACGGCCUUCGGGUUGUAAACCGCUUUCGCCUGGGACGAAGCGAGAGUGACGGUAAUGGGUUAAGAAGCACCGGCUAACUACGUG